GAACGAAAGGGCGGAUGUAGCCAAGUGGAUCA
This 32-nucleotide transfer RNA is filed under the name Duvalia sulcata. Its description in RNAcentral is "partial tRNA-His". The record is from RNAcentral. RNAcentral also lists the same sequence under 2 other names. Lineage: Eukaryota; Viridiplantae; Streptophyta; Magnoliopsida; Gentianales; Apocynaceae.